This 1390-nucleotide ribosomal RNA is filed under the name Clostridium beijerinckii. RNAcentral describes it as "partial 23S ribosomal RNA". It matches the Rfam family "Bacterial large subunit ribosomal RNA", at positions 1 to 1395 of the family's 2925-position model. The record is from RNAcentral. Lineage: Bacteria; Bacillati; Bacillota; Clostridia; Eubacteriales; Clostridiaceae.
GGUCAAGCUACAAAGGGCGCAUGGUGAAUGCCUUGGCAUCAGGAGCCGAUGAAGGACGCGAUAAGCUGCGAUAAGCUUCGGGUAGGCGCACAUAGCCAGAGAUCCGAAGAUUUCCGAAUGAGGAAACUCACAUGGGAAACCCCAUGUAUCAUAAAGUGAAUAGAUAGCUUUAUGAAGGUAUACCCAGGGAACUGAAACAUCUAAGUACCUGGAGGAAGAGAAAGAAAAAUCGAUUUUCUUAGUAGCGGCGAGCGAAAAGGAAAGAGCCCAAACCAGAGAUUUAUCUCUGGGGUUGCGGACAGAACAUAACGAGAAAUCAUAGUUAAUUGAACACAACUGGAAAGUUGGACCACAGUGGGUAAUAGUCCCGUAAGUGAAAACUAUGAUAAUCAGUUCUGCACCAGAGUACCACGAGACACGUGAAACCUUGUGGGAAGCAGGGAGGACCACCUCCCAAGGCUAAAUACUACCUGAUGACCGAUAGUGAAGCAGUACCGUGAGGGAAAGGUGAAAAGAACCCCGGGAGGGGAGUGAAAUAGAACCUGAAACCAUGUGCCUACAACCGAUCAGAGCACCUUAUGUGUGUGAUGAUGUGCUUUUUGUAGAACGAGCCAACGAGUUACGGUAUGUAGCGAGGUUAAGUACUUAAGGUACGGAGCCGAAGGGAAACCGAGUCUUAAUAGGGCGACUAGUUGCAUGCUGUAGACCCGAAACCGGGUGACCUAUCCAUGGCCAGGUUGAAGCGAGGGUAAAACCUCGUGGAGGACCGAACCACGUUGCUGUUGAAAAAGCAUGGGAUGAGCUGUGGAUAGCGGAGAAAUUCCAAUCGAACUCGGAUAUAGCUGGUUCUCCUCGAAAUAGCUUUAGGGCUAGCGUCGGAAAAUGUGAGUAGUGGAGGUAGAGCACUGAAUAGGCUAGGGGGCAUAGCGCUUACCGAACCUUAUCAAACUCCGAAUGCCACAUACUAUCAGUCCGGCAGUCAGACUAUGAAAGAUAAGUUCCAUGGUCAAAAGGGAAACAGCCCAGAUCGUCAGCUAAGGUCCCAAAGUGUAAGUUAAGUGGAAAAGGAUGUGGGAUUUCUAAGACAACUAGGAUGUUGGCUUAGAAGCAGCCACUCAUUAAAAGAGUGCGUAAUAGCUCACUAGUCAAGAGAUUCUGCGCCGAAAAUGUCCGGGGCUCAAACUUACCACCGAAGCUACGGGUUCACGUGUAUAACGUGAGCGGUAGAGGAGCGUCGUAAUCAGGCUGAAGUCGUACCGUAAGGAGCGGUGGACUGAUUACGAGUGAGAAUGUUGGCAUUAGUAGCGAGAUGUAGGCGAGAAUCCUACAGGCCGAAUAUCUAAGGUUUCCUGAGUAAAGUUUGUCUUCUCAGGGUUAGUCGGGACCUAAG